CUAUUCUCUAAUAAUAUGCAUAACUCGCUCGAGAAUAACAGAGCCGCAAGGACAAGUUUGAUAGUAAACUAAGUACUAUGUGUGAAAGAAUACCUAGAUAUUCUAAGCAAAGCUAUAAGUGUUAGAAUUAUUAUCGUGAAUGCAAACGAUAUCCAUAUCCUAUAUUUAAUGGACAAAGUAGACAUUUUUGAAGCUAAAUUCUUUUGUUUAUCAAAGUCUAGUUGCUUUUCAUCCUCCAAUUUUAUAUUUCCUACGCGAGAAAAGUCUGUAAUGUUUGCUACUGAUUGUUUUAGAGCUUCUAAGCUUUUUCUGUAUGCUUUCAACUUAACUGUUAAUGAACUAUCUGCUGGCUUACUUUUAUUUGGUACACAUUUUUUGUAGAGAAAUUCAACUCUUUUCACGUUACUAGGAUUCUCCGAAUUAUCUGAUGAUGCUGAAUCCCCUUCAUUCAUGCAAAUCGAGUUUAAUUGAAAUUUACCAGCACAAUGUGUUGAUUGUCUAUUUUGAUACUCCAAACUUGAGUUAUAUUUGUGAUGUGUGC
This 541-nucleotide non-coding RNA is filed under the name Cryptosporidium parvum. The record is from RNAcentral. Lineage: Eukaryota; Apicomplexa; Conoidasida; Eucoccidiorida; Cryptosporidiidae.